Molecule: ribosomal RNA, 489 nt
Filed under: uncultured bacterium
Lineage: Bacteria
Description: partial 16S ribosomal RNA
Rfam family: Bacterial small subunit ribosomal RNA
Source: RNAcentral
GACGAACGCUGGCGGCGUGCUUAACACAUGCAAGUCGAACGGUGAAGGGAUCAGCUUGCUGGUUCUGGAUGAGUGGCGAACGGGUGAGUAACACGUGAGUAACCUGCCCCCUUCUUCUGGAUAACCGCAUGAAAGUGUGGCUAAUACGGGAUAUUCUGCGCCUGCUGCAUGGUGGGUGUGGGAAAGAUAUUGUUUCGGUGGGGGAUGGGCUCGCGGCCUAUCAGCUUGUUGGUGGGGUGAUGGCCUACCAAGGCGGUGACGGGUAGCCGGCCUGAGAGGGUGGACGGUCACACUGGGACUGAGGCACGGCCCAGACUCCUACGGGAGGCAGCAGUGGGGAAUAUUGCACAAUGGGCGCAAGCCUGAUGCAGCGACGCCGCGUGAGGGAUGGAGGCCUUCGGGUUGUGAACCUCUUUCGCCAGUGAAGCAGGCCUGUCCCUUGUGGGUGGGUUGACGGUAGCUGGAUAAGAAGCGCCGGCUAACUACGUG